Clupea harengus (Atlantic herring) is the source of this 668-nucleotide long non-coding RNA. RefSeq lists it as uncharacterized. The record is from RefSeq and is a predicted model, not a curated record. NCBI's taxonomy places the organism in Eukaryota, Metazoa, Chordata, Actinopteri, Clupeiformes, Clupeidae.
GCCGCCCACACGCAAUGAAUUUCAGUCCUGCUAGGAGCCAGGGGGAAAUGGAUCUGAGUGCAUAUGGUGUCAUCGACUGCAACAGCUUACGUUACAAAUGGAUUGCAUGCUAAUAUAUCACCUGCAAGAAGCGGAACUGCUUCAGUGUUGCCGGUUAAUGAGCACACAGGCUAAGACGCAGUCAGAAGCAGCACUAUCAUGUCGGACUCUGAGAGCACUGCCCCAGCUGAGGUCCCCGUGCCUGCCGCCUGUGAGGCGAUCAAGGCCGACCUGGACAAGUGUGUGAAGGAGAAUGGAGAGGAGGGCUGCAAAGACCUGAUGGAGGCGUUCGCAGCCUGUGUGAAGAGUGCUGCUGGGGCAUCAUGAGAGGAGCGGAGCUUGGCUCACAGGAAAUGUCCACUGCACUGAGUCCUCCACCUUCCCAGCAUUCCCUUCUGCACAUGGCACUGGACUGAAUGAUACAGAUUCUGAUGGGGGUUUGGUGGCAGAGUCUCGUCCUGUCCCCCAGAUCCUCCCUCCUGUAAAGCUUAAGUGAUCUCUGAGCCUUCCUCCUGACCCCUGCCCCUAUGGCUGAAUUGUAGGCAGUUCUGGAGAGCCCAUGGCUGUUAUGUAAAUUGUCUUCAAGAUGCUUACAUUUAAAUGCAAAUAAUAAAGUGAUUGGUACAGUG